This 2216-nucleotide long non-coding RNA is filed under the name Nicotiana tabacum (common tobacco). RNAcentral's name for it is "long non-coding RNA (NTAB_LNC006828)". The record is from RNAcentral. Lineage: Eukaryota; Viridiplantae; Streptophyta; Magnoliopsida; Solanales; Solanaceae.
UUUCCCUUUUCACUUUCUUUUUUGGAUUCUUUUCUCUCUUUCUCUUUUUUCUUUUAAAAGAUAAUAAGUAACAAAACUAAAAUUUGAUACUACUAAAUCCAAGAAACAAAGUUCCAAUUGCUUCAAAUUAAAAUACUAACUAAACAAAAAAUUACUAAUAACCUAAAAUAAAGAAAAUAUUAUUAUAUUUUUUUUGUAGUUUUUUUUAAAAAAUAAAAUAAAGCAAAGAAGUUGAACUAAAAGUUAAAAUAUCAAUAUUAAACCUAAAAUAAACAUCUAAACACUCAAAUGUGUAAAAUAUCGUGAAUGGUCAAAAAUUGCAUGUCUACAACUGCCCCUCUUUGACUGGAAAUACGAAGUAUUUUCAGGCAAAGAACGACUAGACAGAUUUUUUGACCCGACCCUUAUUUAAAGAGACCAAAAGCUAAAAGAAAGGAGAAUGUGACCGAGCCCUGGUAUCUGAGCUGCCUACAUAUCCUUGGCUAUAAAGGAAUCAGGCCACGUGUAGUUCAGAGGGAGUGAGAUGAUGGAGUAUGCCGAGGUGAAGAGCCGGUCGACGGUGCCGUUCCGCCGAGGUUCCGGUCCGCAGUCCCGUUAUUACAUCAAAAAAUCAAGAAAUGGAAAAGACUAGCUAAGCCUGCCAACUACGAGUUACAAGAUUCCUAUCUUUGAGUCUUCUGAAGCUUGAUCUUGAGUUUUGAAUGGUUCUUCAUACAGACUUUGGAUUUGAACCUAGACGUUUGCUAGUUGCAGGUGCUAGUUCGUUCUUCUUCUUCAGCCUUUCAGACCAAAACGGGACAUGCAGAGCUUGUGACCUCAGCCCUGUCUUGAGCAACUCACAUCUUUCAUUAACUUCUGCAUUUGGAUUCACUUCUUGUCUUUCUUUUUGUUCAAGAUUGUGACUAACUUCUGUUGAUCAUCUCGAACUGCUGACUCGCAUUCUUGAUGCGAGCUUCUUUUGUUGCUGACCUGAAUUGCAUUCUGAAUUGAAUUCUAUUAUUUUCCAGGUGGGCGCCUGAUUGCUGAACUUGAACCGUCUUUUCUUGUUAAUUGACACUGUUUUCCCUUGCACCUUGAACCAUUUUCCUUCGAAACUUGAAUUGUCUUCCUUCGAAACUGCUUUCCCUUGAAACUCGAGUUGUCUUCCUUCGAAACUGCUUUCCCUUGAAACUUGAGGUAUCUUCCCUUGUUCUCCAGGUGGGCACCUGAUUACAAGAAAACAGACAAAACAAAAGAAAUUUUUUCUGUCCCAGUUUGCACUAGGAAGAUUUGUGAGUUUUUAGCAAAAUUAUAAAUCACUUGUACUAUUGAUGCAAUGAUGAGACUAAACUAAAGAAUAGACUAGGAAAACUAUAAACUAAGUUUGACUAAAGUAAAGACUGACCCUAUUCUCCAGGCGGGGCCCCUGAUUUAAAGAAAACUAAACAUUGAUAACUUAAGAAAACUAAAAAUUGACCCAUUUUUUCAAAUCCAGACUUUCAUUUUUUUUUCAAAAUAUCCUAGGAGAAAAUUCGUGAGACUAGGUUUUCUAUCUUAGGAGAAAGAUUCAUCAGACUAAGACGUUAAUCCUAGGAGGAAAUUCAUCAGACUAGGCCUUUUCCUUUUUUUUUUGUUUUUUUGUAUCUUAGGAGAAAGAUUCAUCCGACUAAGACGUUUACCCUAGGAGAAAAUUCAUCAAACUAGAUUUUCUAUCUUAGGAGAAAGAUUCAUCAUACUAAGAUUUCUAUCCUAGGAGAAAAUUCAUCAGACAAGGUCUUCCAUCUUAGGAGAAAGAUUCAUCAGAAUAAGAUUUUGAUCCUAGGAGAAAGAUUCAUCAAACUAGGUCUUCUAUCUUAGGAGAAAGAUUCAUCAGACUAAGAUUUUGAUUGGGAGGAAAAUCCAUCAGACUAGGACUUUUUAUCCUAGGAGGAAAAAUGUGAAGAUCAAUGGCAAGAUUUUAUGCACAAUAGCAAGACAAAUAAAGGAAAAGAUUUGAGAAACUUCCCUUUGUAGGCUUUCCUCGUCUUUUCUUUUUCUUCUCUUUUUUUUGUUGUUGUUUUUUUUCCUUUUUUUUCAUUUUUUUUCUCUUUUUGAAUCACUUUCCUUGCACCGCUUUGUUCCUGUUUCAUACAAAGAAAAAUUUGUCAGUUUUGAAAAUAGUGGUCGGUUUGUGGCCUUGAGUCUUGGGCAGCUUGGCUUAUGCUCAAUCAGCUUGAGUCAGUCUCAAAAAGACUUUU